CACGUAGGGGGCAAGCGUUGUCCGGAUUUAUUGGGCGUAAAGAGCUCGUAGGCGGCUCGGCAAGUCGGGUGUGAAACCUCCAGGCUCAACCUGGAGACGCCACUCGAUACUGCUGUGGCUAGAGUCCAGUAGGGGAGCGUGGAAUUCCUGGUGUAGCGGUGAAAUGCGCAGAUAUCAGGAGGAACACCAGCGGCGAAGGCGGCGCUCUGGGCUGGAACUGACGCUGAGGAGCGAAAGCGUGGGGAGCAAACAGG
Molecule: ribosomal RNA, 254 nt
Filed under: uncultured bacterium
Lineage: Bacteria
Description: partial 16S ribosomal RNA
Rfam family: Bacterial small subunit ribosomal RNA
Source: RNAcentral